RNAcentral lists this ribosomal RNA (164 nucleotides) under uncultured bacterium. Its description in RNAcentral is "partial 16S rRNA". It matches the Rfam family "Bacterial small subunit ribosomal RNA", at positions 355 to 511 of the family's 1533-position model. The record is from RNAcentral.
UGGGGAAUAUUGGACAAUGGGGGGGACCCUGAUCCAGCCAUGCCGCGUGUGUGAAGAAGGCCUUAUGGUUGUAAAGCACUUUAAGCGAGGAGGAGGCUACUCUAGUUAAUACCUUGCUGUUUUGACGUUACCGACAGAAUAAGCACCGGCUAACUCUGUGCCCG